This 411-nucleotide ribosomal RNA is filed under the name Eremothecium gossypii. RNAcentral's name for it is "SSU rRNA". It matches the Rfam family "Eukaryotic small subunit ribosomal RNA", at positions 1218 to 1652 of the family's 1831-position model. Lineage: Eukaryota; Fungi; Ascomycota; Saccharomycetes; Saccharomycetales; Saccharomycetaceae. The record is from RNAcentral.
CCAGGUCCAGACACAAUAAGGAUUGACAGAUUGAGAGCUCUUUCUUGAUUUUGUGGGUGGUGGUGCAUGGCCGUUCUUAGUUGGUGGAGUGAUUUGUCUGCUUAAUUGCGAUAACGAACGAGACCUUAACCUACUAAAUAGUGCUGCUAGCAUUUGCUGGUUGCGCACUUCUUAGAGGGACUAUCGGUUUCAAGCCGAUGGAAGUUUGAGGCAAUAACAGGUCUGUGAUGCCCUUAGACGUUCUGGGCCGCACGCGCGCUACACUGACGGAGCCAGCGAGUAUAACCUUGGCCGAGAGGUCUGGGUAAUCUUGUGAAACUCCGUCGUGCUGGGGAUAGAGCAUUGCAAUUAUUGCUCUUCAACGAGGAAUUCCUAGUAAGCGCAAGUCAUCAGCUUGCGUUGAUUACGUCC